This 2890-nucleotide long non-coding RNA is filed under the name Nicotiana tabacum (common tobacco). RNAcentral's name for it is "long non-coding RNA (NTAB_LNC016232)". The record is from RNAcentral. Lineage: Eukaryota; Viridiplantae; Streptophyta; Magnoliopsida; Solanales; Solanaceae.
AUUUCUGCCUUCGGCCUUGAAUUUCAAUUUGAGCUUUCAUUCCUGCUUUUGAUUUCAGUUAGCAUUUUAAUUCCAAAAUUAUUCAGAAAACAAAAAUAUCAAAAAAUGGAGAAAUUCGAGACAACUGCACAGUUCCAUCACUAGUUUUGGGAUUUCAGUUUUGGGUUUAGCAUUGUUACAGAGGUGUUUAGGCGCAGCUGUGAGGGUCAGGCGUAUAUUUGAAGUAUAUGCUGAAUUAAUCUGGGAAGGCUGCCUGUAUUUCUGAUUUUCAAAAGUGUUUUCUGGACUGUCUUGUGGUAUAUAUGGCUGAGUUUACUGCUGUUGUUGUUGCAAGUAGCUGACUCCUCUCCUUCUCUCUAUUUACAUUUCAAUUUCCAGGUAUUUGUUCUGCAGCUCUCAAGUCUAUGGAGUUGGAGUAAAUAUGCUGUCUGAAUUUGAUCUUUGAAUUCUUCAUGUUUUGUCUAAACUUAAUGUAUAAACAAUUAGCUUACUCAUGUCAUUUGGAUACUAUAUUAAUCCUGAUUUGUGUAAAUGGGACUGAUAAACUGUCAAGCAUGAGUAUGUUCCUUUCGAUUAGUAAGUGGGGAUUUAGGUGUUUAGAUUCAUGUAUGUAAUCAAGGUUGUGGACUGUGUAGACUGUGCAUUUCAUGCUUAUGCAAUUGUAGUUUACAAUUUAAGUUCCAUAGGCUGCUGAAGUUAAAUCUACAAAGUUGUAAUUGAUUUAGAGUUCAACACACAUGGUUGCUUUUAAUUUUGGUCUAAUAUGAAUUGUACACAGCUUCAUACUGGGCCAAUUUUGGGCCUGGCGAAUUUACAGUCGGCCCAGACUGUGGUUAGGCGAGAGAUCGAAUUGGGGCCCAGGUUCAUCAAGGUUUAAGAAUUUAAUUAAAUAGGAAGGAUCCCCAAGGGCUCGAUCUCUGGGUUGUGCAUUGGCCCGUCAAUAAGUAAAAUUUGUCCUCCGUUAGGCCUGGUUCUUAGAGCUCUAAGAGCCCACACCUGCAGCAUAUGUAAUGACAAUGCUUUGGACUGUAUGGGCUCAAAGCCCAUUUCCUCAGUACUUCUGCAUAAAAGUUCAAAAUUCAAGUUUAACAAAUGUUGGCCUUAACCAAUUAGGAUCUUAAGUAAUUAAUGACAUAAUUAUCUCGCUGUUUAGAUUUGGGAAGGUCGUUUAGCGAAUUUCAUGGCCUUCCCCAAAAUAAUAUUACGUUAGAAUCUUUAGACGCGAUUUAAUUAAGUCACUUUCUUAAACUCGGGUGCGCAUUGAUGCGACCCAAAUCUAGAUCUCGACAAAGUCAAAAUGUGUUGACAAUCACGGGUGCAUUGAUUGUGACGUGGUUCGAAACGCGUUUUCACGACGUCGUAAUUCUUAUAAAAUAAAUAAUGAUAGAAAAGAGUUUCACAAAUUGAGACGAGCCUCACCGCACAAAAAUAAAUAAAUGUGGGGCCCUUAGUAAAUAGUUAUCGAAAUAAUUAGAAUUUGGGAUGGCCGUUUAGCGAACUUCAUGGCUUUUCCCAAAAAUAACACUACGUUAGUAUCUUUAGGCACGAUUUAAUUAAAUAACCUUCUUAAAAUUCGGGUGCGCAUUGAUGCGACUCAAAUCCAAAUCUCGACGAAGUUGAAAUGUGUUGAUAACUACGGGUGCAUUGAUUGAGACGUGGUUCGAAACGCGUUUUCAUGACAUCGCAAUUCUUAAAAAAAAUAUAACUAUAAUAAAAGCGGUGUAAAAUUAAUAAAAGGCAAAUGAACUAGCAUGUAUUAAAAUCAGAUAAAAUCAAAUACAACAGUUAAGCGACCGUGCUAGAACCACGGAACCCGGGAAUGCCUAACACCUUCUCCAUGGGUUAACAGAAUUCCUUACCCAGAUUUCUGGUUCGCGGACUGUUAACAGAGUCAUAUUUUUCCUCGGUUCGGGAUGCAACCGGUGACUUGGGACACCAUUAAUCUCCCAAGUGGCGACUCUGAAUAAUUAAUAAUCAAAUCCUGUUCCGAUUGUCCUUUAAUUGGAAAAACUCCUUCACGCCCUUCCGAGGGUAUAGGUGAAAAAGGAGGUGUGACAAUUACCAUGAAACUAUACGUGACGGUGUAGGGAUGCAUUCCAAGACUAGGUCGAGGUUUGUGGGAUAAAGUCCUCUAUUGAGAGGACAAAUGAUCACUACUUAAAGUAAUGAGGUUAAGUCGACUCGUAUGACACUACGGAAAGCCGCCCAGACAAGUAGGGUCAAAUAGUUGUUGCUAGGUCGAUCACCUAGUAGUUGUUUAUUAUGUCGGUGUCCGUAUAGUACUCUCGGUGAAAGAUAAAGAAGACUUUCUUAUGUUUAUGUCUAAGGAGCCGAAUGUGAUUUCGAUGACUUAAUGAAAGUGAAAUGGUUUUGUAUGAUUUUAUUUAAAAUCUUAGAUUGGUAUAAAUGUUCUAAGAAUUUAUAUCAUGGUUUAUACUUCACUUGUCUUUUCAUUUGAAAUGAUAAAUAGCAUGAUUUGUAUAAUUGUUUAUCACUUUAUAUCAAAUAUUAGUUGCAUAGUUUUUGUAAAAUCUUAUCCUAGGAACUUGAGUUAGAAGAGUCUAUGACACUUAUUGAGUACCCUGGUGGUGUACUCAGCCCUCAGUGGCCUCUCUUCAGGGCUCCUCUUAUUUUACAUGUUUCAGGAUGAGUGGUAUAAUACGUGGCACGCAGACAUGGCUAUGAUAGCUCUCUUCCCAAAGUAUAUGGUGAGGCACCACUCCUAUUUCAUGGUAGAUAUCAUGUUGUCUUUUUGUUUUAUGUUAGUCGAGCAUUGACCCAAAUAUUAAGUUCUAUUCUUGGUUUGGAGGCUCUAUAGAUAAUUGUGAUGAGUUGUAAUAAUAGAUGGUACACGACAUAUAUAAAAAAAUAUUUGUUGCAUUUGAUCCCA